This 387-nucleotide ribosomal RNA is filed under the name uncultured bacterium. RNAcentral describes it as "bacterial SSU rRNA". It matches the Rfam family "Bacterial small subunit ribosomal RNA", at positions 29 to 416 of the family's 1533-position model. The record is from RNAcentral.
AUUGAACGCUGGCGGCAUGCCUUACACAUGCAAGUCGAACGGCAGCACGGGGGCAACCCUGGUGGCGAGUGGCGAACGGGUGAGUAAUGCAUCGGAACGUGCCCCGUAGCGGGGGAUAACCAGUCGAAAGACUGGCUAAUACCGCAUACGCUCCACGGAGGAAAGCAGGGGAUCGCAAGACCUUGCACUAUGGGAGCGGCCGAUGCCCGAUUAGCUAGUUGGUGAGGUAAAGGCUCACCAAGGCGACGAUCGGUAGCUGGUUUGAGAGAACGACCAGCCACACUGGGACUGAGACACGGCCCAGACUCCGUACGGGAGGCAGCAGUGGGGAAUUUUGGACAAUGGGCGCAAGCCUGAUCCAGCCAUGCCGCGUGCGGGAUGAAGGCC